UUUGAUUUAUCAUCUUCCCGAGUAGCUGGGAAUACAGGCCAACCUCCAAGAGCAACUAGAAGUUACAAAAUGGGACAAACUUCCUACCUCCAACUCUCCUCUCCAACUCCAUAGUACCAACUGUAGGGUUGGUGCUCACCUGGUGGGAAGACCAGGGGUACGAGGAGCUAACACGCAGUUGAAGGAGCCGGUCUGCAAGCCAGAGGGUAGCCACGGUCCGUCACUGUGCAGUCCAGCUUAGAUGAUCUGGACCCAAUAAAACAAGCUGUCAUUUCC
This 276-nucleotide long non-coding RNA is filed under the name Rattus norvegicus (Norway rat). RNAcentral's name for it is "long non-coding RNA NONRATT023303". Lineage: Eukaryota; Metazoa; Chordata; Mammalia; Rodentia; Muridae. The record is from RNAcentral.